RNAcentral lists this long non-coding RNA (1402 nucleotides) under Falco tinnunculus (common kestrel). RNAcentral's name for it is "lncRNA (ENSFTIG00000010768.1)". The record is from RNAcentral. Lineage: Eukaryota; Metazoa; Chordata; Aves; Falconiformes; Falconidae.
ACACGCUUGCCUUUUUUAAAUCAUGCUUUACAUUGUUAUUAGACAUUGCUGGCUACGACCAACUGUGAAACAAUUACAUUCCUCUGAGAUACGGUAGCGUUUUAAUACUCCAUUUAUGAGAAAACCGGGUUAAAAAAAAAAAAGGGGGGGGGGGUAAAGAAAAAAGGAAGAAAGCAUCUCAGAGGAGCAUUUAUCUCUGGGUGAUUUAUUGAUAGUACUGACCUUUCGGAUUCAUCAAGAUUCCUCCCAGCUCCGAGGGCUCCCGCAGCCAAGUGCCGCGCAGACACCGCUGGAGGCGGCAGCAGCUCCGGUCCCUCCCUCCAUGCUGCGCGCACACGCACACGCUCCGCACCGCGCCCCCCGCACCCCGGCUCUGCGCAGCCUGCCGGCGGGGAGCGGGGCAGGGGAGGGGGCUGAAGGCCGAGGCUGCCCCCCUUCCCUACCUCCCCCCCUUCCCUCCCUCCCCCCCGACCCGCUCACGGGCUGGCUCCAGCGCCAACUGCGCCCGGAGCGGCUGGAACGCCGGAUUUACCCCCCCAGAAAAAAGACAUGCAGGAAUGGGACAAGCUAAAGAUAGAAGAACUGAAUGGGAAGCAACAUGCCCGUUCAGAAGGAAACUAUUCUGACUUUGCAUCAGUAGCUGCCGGGCUUCGAGAAUUAUUACACUUUUCCUUCGCCCUCGGCCAUCCCCACCUGCAGCUCUGCGGCAGAGACCAAAGCACACCGGAUUCAUCUCAGGGACUGUAUCCCUCAGCUUGUGGUUUUGACCUUCUGACUUGAGCCAAUAAUUCAACCCGAGUCAAACUUCACAACAGGAGAAAACAGAAGCACACUGCAAAAGUGAAGGUGUUUGUGCAACAUGAUGGGGACAAAGCCAGGGACAGAACUUUGCGGUGGUCCAGGACCCCAAAGCACUGGCAUUAAUGAGAACAUGAGGUAAAAAAAACCUGUGGAAAUUCACCACCCAGCUUCCUACAAUAAAAUACUGUGCUGCACCCCGAGGUAACCACAGACAGCAAAACUUAAGCCCGGCACCACAGCUCCUAGCCCCAGUGCUUCAAUCCAAGCUGAAAGGAACAGUAAGGAACACAAAGCAAAAAACAAAGCUAUAAUAAAGUGAUAAAGCAUAAAAACUCAACAGAUACUGUCCACACUGCAUCUGUUCUAGCUUAAGGUCUACUACUGCGCUCAACAGCGCAGUGGAAGUAGCUGUAGGGAAAAAUUUAAGCAAAUGUAUUUAUUGUACAGCUGUGAAAGAGGCUCUUGCCAACUAACUGGAACCAAUUACUAUUACAGAGAACAUUUACUAGCACACAGAAGUUCAGCAUAUCCACUACCAAAAGCAUCCAGUUGUUUGGGGCACAGCACAAGAUUAAACCCUACUGUUGCUUUUCAUGCUUUU